Molecule: non-coding RNA, 74 nt
Organism: Aedes albopictus (Asian tiger mosquito)
Lineage: Eukaryota; Metazoa; Arthropoda; Insecta; Diptera; Culicidae
Source: Rfam
UGUUCUGUGGCUUAGUUGGCUAGAGCGCCGGUCUAGUGAAUAAGGAGUCGUGGGUUCGAAUCCCACCAGAACGC